GCUGGUUGAUCCUGCCAGAGGCGACCGCUAUUGGAGUUCGAUUAAGCCAUGCGAGUCGAGAGUCUUAGGGACUCGGCAUACUGCUCAGUAACACGUGGAUAACCUGCCCUGUACUGGAGGAUAACCUCGGGAAACUGAGAAUAAUACUCCAUAGACCACAAUGCCUGGAGCGGUUUGUGGUUCAAAGCUCCGGCGGUACAGGAUGGGUCUGCGGCGUAUCAGGUUGUAGGGGGUGUAAAGGACCUCCUAGCCAUUGACGCGUACGGGUUGUGGGAGCAAUAGCCCGGAGAUGGAUUCUGAGACACGAAUCCAGACCCUACGGGGUGCAGCAGGCGCGAAAACUUCACACUGCGGGAAACCGUGAUGAGGGAACUCCAAGUGUUAGCACAAUGUGCUAUCUUUUCUUGACUUUUAAUAGGUCUUGGAAUAAGGGGCGGGAAAGACCGGUGCCAGCCGCCGCGGUAAUACCGGCGCCUCAAGUGGUCGUCGCUUUUAUUGGGCCUAAAACGUCCGUAGCCUGUUUGGUAAACCCGUGGGUAAAUCAACGAGCUCAACUCAUUGACUUCUGCGGAGACUGCCAGACUAGGGACCGGGAGAGGUGUAGGG
Molecule: ribosomal RNA, 606 nt
Filed under: uncultured Candidatus Poseidoniales archaeon
Lineage: Archaea; Methanobacteriati; Thermoplasmatota; Candidatus Poseidoniia; Candidatus Poseidoniales
Description: bacterial SSU rRNA
Rfam family: Archaeal small subunit ribosomal RNA
Source: RNAcentral